This 253-nucleotide ribosomal RNA is filed under the name uncultured bacterium. Its description in RNAcentral is "partial 16S ribosomal RNA". It matches the Rfam family "Bacterial small subunit ribosomal RNA", at positions 524 to 776 of the family's 1533-position model. The record is from RNAcentral.
UACGGAGGGAGCUAGCGUUGUUCGGAAUUACUGGGCGUAAAGCGCGCGUAGGCGGCCAGACAAGUUGGGGGUGAAAGCCCGGGGCUCAACCCCGGAACUGCCCUCAAAACUGUUUGGCUAGAAUCCUGGAGAGGUGAGUAGAAUUCCUAGUGUAGAGGUGAAAUUCGUAGAUAUUAGGAAGAAUACCAGUGGCGAAGGCGGCUCACUGGACAGGUAUUGACGCUGAGGUGCGAAAGCGUGGGGAGCGAACAGG